UGAUAUGUUUUACACUUGUUACUUUUAAAAGGGUUUUUUUUUUAUCAUUCAGGAUGGUUCUAGAAGAAGAACUCCAGGGGGAGUUUAUAUAAACUUGCUGAAAAACACACCUUGCAUAACCAGUGAACAAAUCAAGGAAAUCUUCUAUAUUGAAAAUCAAAAGGAGUAUGAGAACAAAUGUGCUGCGAAGAAGAGGAGACUUCAAGUGCUGGGCAAAAAGAUGAAGCAAGCUAUUAAAGGACUUAAUCUUCAGGAAUAUGACGAUGCCUCCCGAGAGACUUUUGCAAGUGACACAAAUGAAGCCCUGGCUUCUCUGGAUGAGUUGCAAGAAGGACAUGGGGAAAUAAAACUUGAUGUAGAACAUGUUUUUGAAACAGAUGAAGGUGAUAGUAUCUUUUGUGUACUAGAUACUUGAGGAAUCAAAAUCUUUGAGAUGUAUAUAUUAAUGGUCAAUUUUAUAUUAUAACUUUUCAUUAGUUGCAAUAGUGCCUAUUAUGUGAAUCAGUCACAUGCUGGAAAGGACCAUUUCAUUUCUUACAGUUGAUGCUUCAGUUUGCUUCAGAUCAUGAAUGCUCUACAUCUUCAUUUAGUUCGUAAUUUCAACAGACACUUAAACCUAAUGUGCAUUCAUUCUUUCAUCUCAUGGUUAGUUUUAACGUUAGAAAAAAAACCUGAAUGCUCUCAUUGCAAAAAAAAAACCUGUGUAUGGAACUGAAUAUAACUGCAUGGAAACACUAUUUCAUUUCACUAAUAGUAAUAUAAACAAAUAUUACUCUGACACACACUUUGGUAUGGAAGCUCAUCAUUGUUUUCAUGAUGAAUUUUGGAACAGGUUUUGCCUACGAGCCAGAUUGGUAUUCAGUCUGCUUGCAAGUUUUUAUAGAUGAAACAGUAAGGAAUAUAAUGCAGUAAUUUCAAAUGUGUUUUUUUAAUUUGGAUGCCCUUCACAAUUGAAAAGGUUACUUUUAAAGAAGACCUGGUAUUGUCCAGUUUGUCUUUUGUUAUAAUGAUAGAACCUGAGGUUUUGUUCUAUAAUACAAAAUGAUAAAUACUACACAUUGCGUGCAUAGAGAACUUCAAUUUCAGCUUACAUUGACCAUUAGUUCUGAGAAAAUAAUAUAAAUUUAAAAUAAUUAAAACAAAUUUUUCUCUUUAUCAGUUUUUUCAGUUUUCAGUUUCUUAUACCUGAGUUUUGAGCUAACAAUCCUGCAUCAAAUUAGUUGUAUUAAAAGUAGACCACUUAAAUCAGUAAAUCUUAAGUUAAUUCUGCUUCGACUUAAUUGAUAUUAGAGAUCUGAAGAAUACCUCAGUCUGAAUCCAGCCAGCAUAAAUGGGUACUGAACUUGUCUCAGUUUCACAUUUUGUUUUGAAAUUAACAAUUACAAAGAUGGGAGUUGGCUAUAAGAUUUAAUCUCCAUUGUUAUCCCUAUUAAUUACAAUCAUCUUAAAAGAACAAAAAAGUUAAGAAAUCAAGCAGUACAUACAUACAUGAAUCAUAGCAGUAGACUUGUGUAUCAUAAGUCUAAGGUUUCACAAGAUUAGAAUGGAUAUUGCAAAUCUAGUUUAAUUUUCAUUAUAAUAUGUAAAAUAAAUAAAAUUAUUCACUUUUAAGAUGAUGUAUUUAUUCAAUUUGCUUUUUUUAUGGAUUUUUUUUUUUUAGGAUUUCCAGUUGCCUUUUUAAAAAAGGAAAGAGGUGAGAUAGUGAAAUGAACUCUGUUGCUUAGGUUAUUCUGUUAAUAUAUCAUAUUUCAGCACGGGUAGUUAAAUCCUUGAAGAGCAACAGCUUCUUUCAGUUAUAUACAUUUGUGUGUAUUAAAUUUUUAGUUCAAACUUACACAAUGAAUUUCAGUAAUUUUGUGAAAACAGAUGCUGCUGAGCAAAAACGUUUUUUGUAUAUUAAAAGGACUUACUUGCCCACUGAA
Molecule: non-coding RNA, 1922 nt
Organism: Pseudonaja textilis
Lineage: Eukaryota; Metazoa; Chordata; Lepidosauria; Squamata; Elapidae
Source: RefSeq, a predicted model, not a curated record